This is a long non-coding RNA of Micropterus dolomieu (smallmouth bass), 790 nucleotides long. RefSeq lists it as uncharacterized. The transcript is spliced from 4 exons. NCBI's taxonomy places the organism in Eukaryota, Metazoa, Chordata, Actinopteri, Centrarchiformes, Centrarchidae. The record is from RefSeq and is a predicted model, not a curated record.
UUUUCAUCCACAUGUCAGUGUUGGACAUACCAGGACAGUUCUUCUGUUUUCUUCAAGAGAACCUGAAGUCAAAAAGCUGUUGUCCUGUGAAGCUGGUGCUGCUCCGUGGUCAGUCUCACCGGGAAAGGUGUACUGAGGUUCCACCAACCACAACCCUCUCCCGUGUGCUAGAUACAGUAGGGAAUAUCUACUCGCAGUCGGUGAGCCAGUAGCCAGUGAGUGCGAGAGAGACAGUAAAUACAGUGCAUGGGAACGUGCAACACACUAGAGAAGUUAUCCUGUGUGUGUGGGUUCUGCAGUUUUCUCAGCUCAAGUCAACAAGAUCUGUUGAGCCGUAGACUAUGACACGGAAGAGGAGCUCACUGUGUCGCAUUAAAAUCACACCUUUUUCUGUGAGUAAUGCUAAUUUGGAGAAACUUGGACUGAGGGCAGUUUUUUUCACUCACCUGGGACAUCAUUUAAAAAAUCAACAGAGGAAAAUGAAACCUUAGCCUUUGACACUUAUAUCAUAGACCAGCCAUCAAAUGACUUUAAUGAGGUAGAGGCAAAAAGUGGUUCAAUUAACAAUGGUGGGGAAGAGUAUGUAGAAGCUGAGACUCUGGAACAUAAAAUUGCAUCUCUUUUUGAUGGUGAUGAAUGUUGAAAUUGGUCGUCAGAUGUACAUGUACACUAUUUUAAAUGUCUGUUUUAAAAGUUUACACUGGGCUUGCAUGAUUCCAUCUUGAAUGAUACAGUCAUGUGUUUCUUUAAUGUUUGUUGAAAAUAAAUAAACAUGGAAAUUGAAGUGGCU